RNAcentral lists this unclassified non-coding RNA (525 nucleotides) under Hevea brasiliensis (rubber tree). The record is from RNAcentral. Lineage: Eukaryota; Viridiplantae; Streptophyta; Magnoliopsida; Malpighiales; Euphorbiaceae.
AUUGCCAUAGAAACAUCUAGUGCAUUGGCUUACCUUCAUGCUUCUGACAUCAUUCAUCGAGAUGUGAAAACAGACAACAUUCUCCUUGACAACGAUUUCAGUGUGAAAGUUGCAGAUUUUGGGCUUUCCAGAUUGUUCCCAAUUGAUGCUACUCAUAUCUCAACUGCUCCACAAGGAACUGCUGGCUAUGUUGACCCUGAAUACUACUACUGUUACCAGCUAACUGAUAAGAGCGAUGUCUAUAGCUUUGGUGUUGUCCUUGUUGCUCAUAUCAUCAAUACCCGCUGUUGAUAUAACAAGGCAUAGGGAUGAGAUUAAUUUGGCCAAUUUAGCAAUAAAUAAGAUUCAAAGGUGUGAAUUUGAUGAGUUGAUUGACCCAUCUCUUGGGUACAAGUUAGACAAGGAAGUUAAAAGAAUGAUAACUUCAGUUGCAGAGUUGGCUUUUCUAUGUUUACAACGAGGUAAGGAAAUGAGACCUUCUAUGGAUGAUGUACUGGAGCAACUACAGAGAAUUGAAAGUGCAGA